Molecule: transfer RNA, 36 nt
Filed under: Gastrostomobdella ampunganensis
Lineage: Eukaryota; Metazoa; Annelida; Clitellata; Hirudinida; Gastrostomobdellidae
Description: partial tRNA-Leu
Source: RNAcentral
UUUAAACCCUAAAUAUGAAUAAUUGUUCUUAUAUUA